UGAGAGGUGACCGSCCACACUGGGACUGAGAUACGCCCAGAUCYUACGGGAGGCAGCAGUGGGAAUAUUGCACAAUGGGCGCAAGCCUGAUGCAGCGACGCCGCGUGAGGGAUGACGGCCUUCGGGUUGUAAACYUCUUUCAAUAGGGACGAAGCGCAAGUGACGGUACCUAUAGAAGAAGGACCGGCCAACUACGUGCCAGCAGCCGCGGUAAUACGUAGGGUCCGAGCGUUGUCCGGAAUUACUGGGCGUAAAGAGCUCGUAGGUGGUUUGUCGCGUUGUUCGUGAAAACUCACAGCUUAACUGUGGGCGUGCGGGCGAUACGGGCAGACUAGAGUACUGCAGGGGAGACUGGAAUUCCUGGUGUAGCGGUGGAAUGCGCARAUAUCAGGAGGAACACCGGUGGCGAAGGCGGGUCUCUGGGCAGUAACUGACGCUGAGGAGCGAAAGCGUGGGGAGCGAACAGGAUUAGAUACCCUGGUAGUCCACGCCGUAAACGGUGGGUACUAGGUGUGGGUUUCCUUCCUUGGGAUCCGUGCCGUAGCUAACGCAUUAAGUACCCCGCCUGGGGAGUACGGCCGCAAGGCUAAAACUCAAAGGAAUUGACGGGGGCCCGCACAAGCGGCGGAGCAUGUGGAUUAAUYCGAUGCAACGCGAAGAACCUUACCUGGGUUUGACAUGCACAGGACGACUGCAGARAUGUGGUUUCCCUUGUGGCCUGUGUGCAGGUGGUGCAUGGCUGUCGUCNAGCUCGUGUCGUGAGAUGUUGGGUUAAGUCCCGCAACGAGCGCAACCCUUGUCUCAUGUUGCCAGCACGUUAUGGUGGGGACUCGUGAGAGACUGCCGGGGUCAACUCGGAGGAAGGUGGGGAUGACGUCAAGUCAUCAUGCCCCUUAUGUCCAGGGCUUCACACAUGCUACAAUGGCCGGUACAAAGGGCUGCGAUGCCGUGAGGUGGAGCGAAUCCUUUCAAAGCCGGUCUCAGUUCGGAUCGGGGUCUGCAACUCGACCCCGUGAAGUCGGAGUCGCUAGUAAUCGCAGAUCAGCAACGCUGCGGUGAAUACGUUCCCGGGCCUUGUACACACCGCCCGUCACGUCAUGAAAGUCGGUAACACCCGAAGCCGGUGGCCUAACCCUUGUGGAGGGAGCCGUCSAAGGUGGGAUCGGCGAUUGGGACGAAGUCGUAACAAGGUAGCCGUACCGGARGUGCGGCUGGAUCACCUC
RNAcentral lists this ribosomal RNA (1223 nucleotides) under Mycobacterium sp. RNAcentral's name for it is "bacterial SSU rRNA". It matches the Rfam family "Bacterial small subunit ribosomal RNA", at positions 293 to 1529 of the family's 1533-position model. Lineage: Bacteria; Bacillati; Actinomycetota; Actinomycetes; Mycobacteriales; Mycobacteriaceae. The record is from RNAcentral.